Apodemus sylvaticus (European woodmouse) is the source of this 337-nucleotide long non-coding RNA. RefSeq lists it as uncharacterized. The record is from RefSeq and is a predicted model, not a curated record. The transcript has 3 exons. Lineage: Eukaryota; Metazoa; Chordata; Mammalia; Rodentia; Muridae.
GUUGCUUAACCCUCGGGUUACCAAACCCGAUGCCCAUGACAUUGGCCUGUGCAAUGCAGAUUUCAAAAGCCGGUGAGGAGGACAAUUCUACUGAUAGUCGGUCUCUAUCCUCCCACCACGGAUGGAAGUCUGUCUGCAGGAUAAAGUGUGGUAUAGCUCGUGCCGCUUCCUGAAUCCUCUUGGUGAAGCCUCCACUCCAAAUCUUAAUGUCUCCUUAUUCCCUUAUCAAGCACAUCUUGUCCUUUAUGAGGCCACAAGAGGUGCUGUGGCAGCUGCCUACCUCUCCUCUGUGGAGAAGACAAACUUCCUAAGCUUCAGGUCCCCCAGCACGAUGGCC